Unclassified non-coding RNA from Callithrix jacchus (white-tufted-ear marmoset), 148 nucleotides. It matches the Rfam family "Metazoan signal recognition particle RNA". Rfam says of the family: The signal recognition particle (SRP) is a universally conserved ribonucleoprotein. It is involved in the co-translational targeting of proteins to membranes. The eukaryotic SRP consists of a 300-nucleotide 7S RNA and six proteins: SRPs 72, 68, 54, 19, 14, and 9. NCBI's taxonomy places the organism in Eukaryota, Metazoa, Chordata, Mammalia, Primates, Cebidae. The record is from Ensembl.
GCUGGGCGUGGUGGUGUGUGCCUAUAGUCCCAGCUACGCAGGAGGCUGAGGCAGGAGAAUUGCUUGAACCCGGGAGGCUGGGGUUGUAGUGAGCUGAGAUCAUGCCACUGGACUCCAGCCUGGGCCACAGAGCAAGACUCUGUCUCAA